UACGUAGGUGGCGAGCGUUGUCCAGAUUUACUGGGCGUAAAGGGAGCGUAGGCGGACUUUUAAGUGAGAUGUGAAAUACCCGGGCUCAACUUGGGUGCUGCAUUUCAAACUGGAAGUCUAGAGUGCAGGAGAGGAGAAUGGAAUUCCUAGUGUAGCGGUGAAAUGCGUAGAGAUUAGGAAGAACACCAGUGGCGAAGGCGAUUCUCUGGACUAUAACUGACGCUGAGGCUCGAAAGCGUGGGGAGCGAACAGGAUUAGAUACCCCCGUA
This 269-nucleotide ribosomal RNA is filed under the name uncultured prokaryote. RNAcentral describes it as "partial 16S ribosomal RNA". It matches the Rfam family "Bacterial small subunit ribosomal RNA", at positions 524 to 792 of the family's 1533-position model. The record is from RNAcentral.